AGCCUUCCUACACCCUACGAUGGAUCUGCGGCCGAUUACGUUGUUGUUGGGGUAAUGGCCCAACAAGCCCGUAAUCGGUACGGGUUGUGGGAGCAAGAGCCCGGAGUUGGAUUCUGAGACACGAAUCCAGGCCCUACGGGGCGCAGCAGGCGCGAAAACUUUACAAUGCGGGCAACCGUGAUAAGGGAACCUCGAGUGCCUGUAAAUGCAGGCUGUUCAGGUGCCUAAAACACACCUGAAGAAAGGGCCGGGCAAGACCGGUGCCAGCCGCCGCGGUAAUACCGGCGGCUCGAGUGGUGGCCGCUUUUAUUGGGCUUAAAGCGUUCGUAACUGGGUUGUUAAGUCUCUUGGGAAAUCUGGCGGCUUAACCGUCAGGCGUCUAAGGGAUACUGGCAAUCUUGGAACCGGGAGAGGUGAGGGGUACUUCGGGGGUAGGAAUGAAAUCCUGUAAUCCUCGAGGGACCACCUGUGGCGAAGGCGCCUCACCAAAA
RNAcentral lists this ribosomal RNA (491 nucleotides) under Methanoculleus bourgensis. Its description in RNAcentral is "bacterial SSU rRNA". It matches the Rfam family "Archaeal small subunit ribosomal RNA", at positions 187 to 685 of the family's 1478-position model. Lineage: Archaea; Methanobacteriati; Methanobacteriota; Methanomicrobia; Methanomicrobiales; Methanomicrobiaceae. The record is from RNAcentral.